UUUCGAAUCUGGCGGUCUUUCGGCCGUCCGAGUUGUAAUCUAGAGAAGCGUCUUCCGCGCUGGACCGUGUACAAGUCUCCUGGAAGGGAGCGUCGUAGAGGGUGAGAAUCCCGUCUUUGACACGGACUGCCAGUGCUAUGUGAUGCGCUCUCGACGAGUCGAGUUGUUUGGGAAUGCAGCUCUAAUCGGGUGGUAAAUUCCAUCUAAAGCUAAAUAUGGGCGAGAGACCGAUAGCGAACAAGUACCGCGAGGGAAAGAUGAAAAGAACUUUGGAAAGAGAGUUAAACAGUACGUGAAAUUGCUGAAAGGGAAACGCUUGACGUCAGUCACGUCGGCCAGGGAUCAACCUUGCUUCUCGCUGGGCGUACUUCCUGGUCGACGGGUCAGCAUCAGUUUCGAUCGUCGUACAAGGACCGAGGGAACGUGACACUCUUCGGAGUGUGUUAUAGCCUUUCGUCGCAUGCGGCGGUGGGGACUGAGGAACUCAGCACGGCUUCGCUCGUGCU
This 506-nucleotide ribosomal RNA is filed under the name Chalciporus vulparius. Its description in RNAcentral is "Chalciporus sp. NKZ-2021b partial large subunit ribosomal RNA". It matches the Rfam family "Eukaryotic large subunit ribosomal RNA", at positions 114 to 618 of the family's 3401-position model. The record is from RNAcentral. Lineage: Eukaryota; Fungi; Basidiomycota; Agaricomycetes; Boletales; Boletaceae.